This 1419-nucleotide ribosomal RNA is filed under the name metagenome. Its description in RNAcentral is "SSU rRNA". It matches the Rfam family "Eukaryotic small subunit ribosomal RNA", at positions 280 to 1728 of the family's 1831-position model. The record is from RNAcentral.
UGUGUCGACGACAUAUCUUUCAAGUGUCUGACUUAUCAACUUUAGACGGUACAUUAUACGUCUACCGUGGUUGUAACGAGUACAGAGAAUCGGGGUUUGGUUCUGGAGAGGCCGCCCGAGAAACGGCGACCACUUCCAAGGAAGGCAGCAGGCGCGCAAAUUACCCACUCUCAAAACGAGGAGGUAGUGAAGAGAAAUAACGAUGUUAGUCUAUUAUAGGCUGACAAUCGGAAUGGGAACACUGUAAACAGGUUAUCGAUUAACAAUUGGAGGGCAAGUCUGGUGCCAGCAGCCGCGGUAAUUCCAGCUCCAAUAAGGAAAACUAAAGUUGCUGUGUUUAAAAAGCUCGUAGUUGAAUUUCUGGUAUUUGUUGCUAGCUGGUCUAACUGGCCAUGUUGGUUAACAGAUCCUCAUUUGCUGGACGGCUGGCGAUGAUCUUCAUCGGUUGUCGUCAGUUGCCAGAACGUUUACUUUGAGAAAAUUAGAGUGCUAAAAGCAGGCUCACGCCUAUAUAUAUUGCAUGGAAUAAUGAAAUAAGAUCUCGGUUUUAUUUCGUUGGUUUUAGAAAUUGAGAUAAUGAUUAAUAGGAUCAGAGGGGGGCGUACGUACUGUGGUGUGAGAGGUGAAAUUCUUGGAUCGCCACAGGACGAACAGCAGCGAAGGCGUUCGCCAAGAAUGUUUUCAUUAAUCAAGAACGAAAGUUUGAGGUUCGAAGACGAUUAGAUACCGUCCUAGUUCAAACCAUAAACGUUGCCAACUGUCUUUUAGAUGCGGUUAUUUAUAUGACUCAUCUGGCGGAUCUCGAGAAAUCUAAGUUUUUAGGUUCCGGGGGAAGUAUGGUUGCAAAGCUGAAACUUAAAAGAAUUGACGGAAGGACACACAAGAAGUGGAGCCUGUGGCCUAAUUUGACCCAACACGGGAAACCUUACUCGGCCAGGACACUUUUAGGAUUGACAGAUUGAGAGCUCUUUCUUGAUUAGGUGGGUGGUGGUGCAUGGUCGUUCGUAGUUCGUGGAGCGAUUUGUCUGAUUAAUUUCGAUAACGAACGAGACUCCGGCUUACUAAAUAGUCUAAAGUUCGAAGGGACUUUUCAAGACUUCUUAGCAGGAUAAGUGGCACUUUUUAAGCCACACGAAAUGGAGCAAUAACAGGUCUGUGAUGCCCUUAGAUGUCCGAGGCUGCACGCGCGCUACACUGGAGAGUUCAGAAUGUUUCUUCCUACUUCGACAGAAGUGGGUAACCAUGAAAUUCUCUUCGUGACUGGGAUCGGAGCUUGCAAUUAUUCUCCGUCAACGAGGAAUUCCUAGUAAGCACUAUUUCAUCAGAAUGUGCUGAUUAUGUCCCUGUCCUUUGUACACACCGCCCGUCGCUACUACCGAUUGAAUGUUUUAGUGAGAUCUUCGGCUUGGUUUUCCGAGC